Molecule: long non-coding RNA, 1473 nt
Filed under: Mytilus galloprovincialis (Mediterranean mussel)
Lineage: Eukaryota; Metazoa; Mollusca; Bivalvia; Mytilida; Mytilidae
Source: RNAcentral
UCAUUAUAAAUAUAUGCAUCUCUUAUUUACAAAACCAAAAUGUACACUGAACAGGUAACAAAAAAUCUCUCAUUUAUCGACUUGAAUAAUAUUUAUAAACCCCCUCUGAUAGCUGGUGUUAUAUAUAUAAUAAUUUGUACAGCAUUCAAUUGUUUAUUUCUAGGCCAAGAAGCCUAAACAAAUUGACAGGCAAAUAUUUAUUUAAUAAUAUUUUCUUAUUUUCUGCUUGUUAAAAGUAUCAGUUAAUAAUAAGUUUCAAAUUUACAUCUAUAAGUAUAAAGAGGUUUGAAACCAGGAAGAAUCAGCUAGAGAAAGUCAACUCUUAAAAAAAACCUAAAGAAGACAACUCUUGAGACAUAAAAAGGAAGGGUAUUGCACUUGUGCAAAAUAAAAAAAAGAUCCCUACAAACAUCUUAUAGCUGACAUUAAAGCUUUAUGUUACAGAUUCAAAAGUAUUUAGUUUUAACUUCUUAAAAUAACUUUUUCAUUGCUAUGAUGAUUGGGUAAAAAAAUAUGAAAGUAAACAAAAAACUGCCAAAAUGCAAGUUAUUUCCAUUUGAAUUUUGAGGCUUGUUUAAUUUUCUGUCUAGCAUGCCAUGUAAUAGAGGUAAUACUGCUUGUCAUUGCUGCCCUGGCUUUUGAUUUGGGAUGGUGGCUAUUGGCAUCACAAAAAUCUGUAAAACAAUAAAAGUUAUAACCUUUAAAUUUUUAUGUGAUGCCAAAUAUUUAAAUGGAAUCAGCUUUAGACAGUAUGUUUUGUAAUUUUGGUGGUAGAGAAAUACUGUACAUGCAUGUAUACCAGAAUACAAAAAAAAUACAAUAAAAUAAAAUCUGUUAAUUAAUGUUAAUGAUACAACUUCCAAUCCAAAAUAGAAAUACAUAAAAAAUGAUUAUCAAGUAAUAAACCAUUUCAAAUGGACAACAAAGGAUAUGUCUCUACAUAAUUUAAUAACGGGCAUUUAAUUGUCCAAAAGUCUGAGGUAAGUCAUAAAUACAAAUGAAUUAAAAUAAAACACUACUGGCAGCAACAUCUGUCGCUAUGUCAGUUUCCUGACCAUGGACUGACACAUGAUCAUGAGGCAAGGUUGAACUAGUUUUGUGUUCUAUACUCUUUUUACUGUCUCAAACAAACUGUGCAGUAAAAAAAAAGAGAAUACAUCUUUUUUUUUGGAAAAUGAUUUUCUUUAACAAUAUGUAUCAGUAUUACAGAAGAAAAACACAUCUUCCUUACUUAUCACACAAGUAAACAAUGGAAGUGUAAAUGCUAACUUGGGGAAAAAAUUCAAUGUAAAGAGGUAUCAGUUCAUAAAAAACAAAAGUGUCUUCAGACAGCAAAGUAGGCAAUAUAUUAGAACCAUCAUAUAACUUGUAUUUAUUGGUACCCGAGUCCAUAAAAAUCUUACAAAGAAUUUCAAUGUUAUUUAUACAUGUAUAAGAUUUAGUACAAACAUAUUUUUCAGUUGAAAUUCAAAG